RNAcentral lists this ribosomal RNA (549 nucleotides) under uncultured bacterium. RNAcentral describes it as "bacterial SSU rRNA". It matches the Rfam family "Bacterial small subunit ribosomal RNA", at positions 355 to 896 of the family's 1533-position model. The record is from RNAcentral.
UGGGGAAUAUUGGACAAUGGGCGAAAGCCUGAUCCAGCCAUGCCGCGUGUGUGAAGAAGGCCUUUUGGUUGUAAAGCACUUUAAGUGGGGAGGAAAAGCUUAUGGUUAAUACCCAUAAGCCCUGACGUUACCCACAGAAUAAGCACCGGCUAACUCUGUGCCAGCAGCCGCGGUAAUACAGAGGGUGCAAGCGUUAAUCGGAAUUACUGGGCGUAAAGCGCGCGUAGGUGGUUAUUUAAGUCAGAUGUGAAAGCCCCGGGCUUAACCUGGGAACUGCAUCUGAUACUGGAUAACUAGAGUAGGUGAGAGGGGAGUAGAAUUCCAGGUGUAGCGGUGAAAUGCGUAGAGAUCUGGAGGAAUACCGAUGGCGAAGGCAGCUCCCUGGCAUCAUACUGACACUGAGGUGCGAAAGCGUGGGUAGCAAACAGGAUUAGAUACCCUGGUAGUCCACGCCGUAAAUGAUGUCUACCAGUCGUUGGGUCUUUUAAAGACUUAGUGACGCAGUUAACGCAAUAAGUAGACCGCCUGGGGAGUACGGCCGCAAGGUUA